This 468-nucleotide ribosomal RNA is filed under the name uncultured bacterium. RNAcentral describes it as "partial 16S ribosomal RNA". It matches the Rfam family "Bacterial small subunit ribosomal RNA", at positions 28 to 507 of the family's 1533-position model. The record is from RNAcentral.
GAUGAACGCUGGCGGCGCGCUUAACACAUGCAAGUCGAACGGAUAGGCCCUGCUUGUGUGGGUUUCACGUGUGGCGAACGGGUGUGUAACACGUGCGUAACCCGCCUUUCACUUGGGGAUACCUUCAGGACCGUGGGGAUAAUCCCGUACUUCGGCACCUCCGCCUGGGUGGGUCUUGGAAGCUUUCGGCGGUGGGGGUUGGCCCCGCGGCUUUUCAGCUUGUUGGUGGGGUACUGGCUUACCAAGGCAUUGAGGGGUAGCCGGCCUGAGAGGGUGACCGGCCACAUUGGGACUGAGAUACGGCCCAGACUCCUACGGGAGGCAGCAGUGGGGAAUAUUGCACAAUGGGCGGAAGCCUGAUGCAGCAACGCCGCGUGCGGGAUGACGGCCUUCGGGUUGUAAACCGCUUUCGGCUGUGACGAAGCGAGAGUGACGGUAACGGGUAAAGAAGCACCGGCUAACUACGUG